AACCUAACCCAUUUCUAUUGCAGGGGUGGUAUGGUCUUAAAUCGCGUAAACAAUACUGAUCCCGUCGUUCAGGUUCGUUUACGCGUCAUGCAGGGAAACUUGUAUGGGACCCUUCAAAAGGUCU
Molecule: small RNA, 124 nt
Filed under: unclassified sequences
Description: LOOT RNA
Rfam family: LOOT RNA
About the family: Latescibacteria, OD1/Parcubacteria, OP11, TM7. Lineage (Microgenomates, aka OP11)
Source: Rfam by way of RNAcentral